This 497-nucleotide ribosomal RNA is filed under the name uncultured bacterium. RNAcentral's name for it is "partial 16S ribosomal RNA". It matches the Rfam family "Bacterial small subunit ribosomal RNA", at positions 28 to 507 of the family's 1533-position model. The record is from RNAcentral.
GAUGAACGCUGGCGGCGUGCCUAAUACAUGCAAGUCGAGCGAACAGACGAGGAGCUUGCUCCUCUGACGUUAGCGGCGGACGGGUGAGUAACACGUGGAUAACCUACCUAUAAGACUGGGAUAACUUCGGGAAACCGGAGCUAAUACCGGAUAAUAUAUUGAACCGCAUGGUUCAAUAGUGAAAGACGGUUUUGCUGUCACUUAUAGAUGGAUCCGCACCGCAUUAGCUAGUUGGUAAGGUAACGGCUUACCAAGGGGACGAGGCGUAGCCGACGUGAGAGGGUGAUCGGCCACACUGGAACUUAGACACGGUCCAGAGUCCUACGGGAGGCAGCAGUAGGGAAUCUUCCGCAAUGGGCGAAAGCCUGACGGAGCAACGCCGCGUGAGUGAUGAAGGUCUUCGGAUCGUAAUACUCUGUUAUUAGGGAAGAACAAAUGUGUAAGUAACUAUGCACGUCUUGACGGUACCUAAUCAGAAAGCCACGGCUAACUACGUG